RNAcentral lists this ribosomal RNA (335 nucleotides) under uncultured bacterium. RNAcentral's name for it is "bacterial SSU rRNA". It matches the Rfam family "Bacterial small subunit ribosomal RNA", at positions 1 to 334 of the family's 1533-position model. The record is from RNAcentral.
UCAGACACGUCAGAGUUUGAUCCUGGCUCAGGACGAACGCUGGCGGCGUGCUUAACACAUGCAAGUUGAACGGGGAAUUUUACUCGGUUUAAUCCUAGUAGCGAACGGGUGAGUAACACGUAUCCAACCUUCCGGUAACUCCGGUAUAGCCUUUCGAAAGAAAGAUUAAUCCCGGAUAGUAUGGUGAUUCCGCAUGGUUUCUCCAUUAAAGGAUUCCGGUUACCGAUGGGGAUGCGUUCCAUUAGGCAGUUGGCGGGGUAACGGCCCACCAAACCUACGAUGGAUAGGGGUUCUGAGAGGAAGGUCCCCCACAUUGGAACUGAGACACGGUCCAA